CUUGGUCAUUUAGAGGAAGUAAAAGUCGUAACAAGGUUUCCGUAGGUGAACCUGCGGAAGGAUCAUUACAGAGAAUGUGCCCUUCGGGGUGUAUCUCCCACCCUUUGUUUACAAUACCUUUGUUGCUUUGGCAGGCCUGUCUAAUGACUGCUGGCUUUUGCUGGUUAGUGCUUGCCAGAGGACCCCAACACUCAUAAUUUUGUUGUCUGAGUACUACAUAAUAGUUAAAACUUUCAACAACGGAUCUCUUGGUUCUGGCAUCGAUGAAGAACGCAGCGAAAUGCGAUAAGUAAUGUGAAUUGCAGAAUUCAGUGAAUCAUCGAAUCUUUGAACGCACAUUGCACCCUCUGGUAUUCCGGGGGGUAUGCCUGUUCGAGCGUCAUUACAACUGUCAAGCACAGCUUGGUAUUGGGUGUCACCUUUCUGGUGUGCCUCAAAAGAAGUGGCGGGACCAUGCGGCUUCGAGCACAGUAAUUUUCUUGCUCUUGGGGCCGCAUGGUGCUCACCAAAACUAUUCUCAAGGUUUGACCUCGGAUCAGGUAGGGAUACCCGCUGAACUUAAGCAUAUCAAUAAGCGGAGGA
Molecule: ribosomal RNA, 582 nt
Filed under: uncultured Leotiomycetes
Lineage: Eukaryota; Fungi; Ascomycota; Leotiomycetes
Description: eukaryotic LSU rRNA
Rfam family: 5.8S ribosomal RNA (bases 229-382)
Source: RNAcentral